AGAGUUUGAUCAUGGCUCAGAUUGAACGCUGGCAGCAUGCUUUACACAUGCAAGUCGAACGGUAGGGUAGCAAUACCUGAGAGUGGCGAACGGGUGAGUAAUGCAUCGGAACAUGCCUAUUUGUGGGGGAUAGCCCGGCGAAAGCCGGAUUAAUACCGCAUACGAUCUACGGAUGAAAGCUGGGGACCGCAAGGCCUAGCGCAAAUAGAGUGGCCGAUGUCAGAUUAGCUAGUUGGUGGGGUAAAGGCCCACCAAGGCAACGAUCUGUAGCUGGUUUGAGAGAACGACCAGCCACACUGGGACUGAGACACGGCCCAGACUCCUACGGGAGGCAGCAGUGGGGAAUUUUGGACAAUGGGCGCAAGCCUGAUCCAGCAAUGCCGCGUGCAGGAUGAAGGCCUUCGGGUUGUAAACUGCUUUUGCACGGAACGAAACGGCUCUGGUUAAUACCCGGGGCUAAUGACGGUACCGUAAGAAUA
Molecule: ribosomal RNA, 479 nt
Filed under: uncultured Malikia sp.
Lineage: Bacteria; Pseudomonadati; Pseudomonadota; Betaproteobacteria; Burkholderiales; Comamonadaceae
Description: bacterial SSU rRNA
Rfam family: Bacterial small subunit ribosomal RNA
Source: RNAcentral